Penaeus monodon (black tiger shrimp) is the source of this 1465-nucleotide long non-coding RNA. RefSeq lists it as uncharacterized. The transcript has 4 exons. The record is from RefSeq and is a predicted model, not a curated record. Lineage: Eukaryota; Metazoa; Arthropoda; Malacostraca; Decapoda; Penaeidae.
UGAUAGCUCGCACCACACAAGGCGGUGAGGGUUUUUUUUUUUCGUGAAAACAGGAACACAAGACAACACCCCAACUUUUUCCGAUUUCCAAGAGACUAUAAAAGAUCGAUUGGAGUAAGCAUGGGGGAAAUCAACAGGGCGGAUUUGGUUACGGAGACAGGUCGGCAACAAAACAAGAGCUACAAGAUAUAUUUAAGACAUUUUGAGGCCAGGAUGUACAUGACUCUUACACCUCAUACAUUCAGCAGCUUUAAAGAUACCAGCUCAAGAUGGAGUGAUGUGAGGUGCAGCUGACACUUGACUACAACUACUGGUGCUGCCAAUUACACCACCACCACCACCACACAUCCAAUAGAUGGUGCAACUGCGCUCCGGGAAUAACAUUGGCAAUUAGUUUCCAAGUAUAAGCAAAGGCUAGAACGGCUAAAAGCAAAUUACAAGAAGAUAGAAACUCGUCGGUAGGCACACUGAGAAAGAUGAACAGCAGAGGUCGUCACAUUUUUAAGGGACUGAAAGUGGAAGAAAAGAUGCCAGACAAGAGUGAUCGUGUGUUCAAAUGUUCAGUGUAAUAUCUGUUAUAAGAAUGUCAAAGAAGGACCUGUUGCACAAGCGCUUCUAUUCAUGAUAAGAAUUAAAAGUAAGUAGAAACAAGUGCUAGCUUACAUCCUGUCAAAAACGUAAACAAAAUGGAGAAAGAAUCCAAUUUAGUGACUGAUGGGUUGUGCAAAGAGGUAAUGGCAUGUGACUAAUGUGUUAAAAGGAAAUCGGUAAAGCAUUUAGAUAUAUUUGUACAAAAUCCUUAUUUUCAGCAUAACAAGUAACAAGUAUGUAUAUGUGUAUGAUGCUCCACAUCUCGCAGCUAUUUUGUGGACUCAAUUUCCCAAGUUAUUUUAAGAAAUGAAGUUGCUAUCAGAACUGCCCCUAAGCUAGAGAAAGCUCCACUUAUGGAGAUGAGUGUGAAUUUGGCAGCACAAACCCUCCAGUAGAUCAGAUGCUGUGUGUCCUAAUGUGAUGGUUGCAUUAAGUAAUUGGAGAAUGCUCUGUAGUUAUGGCUGAAAUUAUGGUAGAAAUGAAUCGCACUUUCGACCUCCGUAAUAACACUGAGUGCCAAGAUAUGUUUGGGGUUCAUCAGACCAAGUCAGAACUUAGAAGCAAAUAGAAAAUAGCCUGUGAACGUUCCCGUCAGUUUGUUGCUGAUGAGUUUCCUAUAAUGACCUUUGGUAAAUUGAUGACACUUUCCAGUUUCUAUGUGACACUACAGGCUCCUCAAUGCUUUAAUUUUACAGAGAAAAAAAAGGAUAUGGAUUUGCAAAAUUAUUCCACGAGACAACAGUAACAACAUGAUUUUAAAAAAUGAAUUUAAGACAAAUAUGGCCUAUAUGAUUUUUCUAAAUUCUCACAAUAUCUGCGGAAAUUUAAAUUUAUUUAAAUGUUGAUAAGAAAUAAGAAAUAUGAUAAAGCUGGA